AUACGUAGGGUGCGAGCGUUGUCCGGAAUUACUGGGCGUAAAGAGCUCGUAGGUGGUUUGUCGCGUCGUCUGUGAAAUUCCGGGGCUUAACUCCGGGCGUGCAGGCGAUACGGGCAUAACUUGAGUACUGUAGGGGAGACUGGAAUUCCUGGUGUAGCGGUGAAAUGCGCAGAUAUCAGGAGGAACACCGGUGGCGAAGGCGGGUCUCUGGGCAGUAACUGACGCUGGGGAGCGAAAGCAUGGGUAGCGAACAGGAUUAGAUACCCUGGUAGUCCAUGCCGUAAACGGUGGGCGCUAGGUGUAGGGGUCUUCCACGACUUCUGUGCCGUAGCUAACGCAUUAAGCGCCCCGCCUGGGGAGUACGGCCGCAAGGCUAAAACUCAAAUGAAUUGACGGGG
Molecule: ribosomal RNA, 398 nt
Filed under: uncultured bacterium
Lineage: Bacteria
Description: partial 16S ribosomal RNA
Rfam family: Bacterial small subunit ribosomal RNA
Source: RNAcentral